GAUGAACGCUAGCUACAGGCUUAACAUAUGCAAGUCGAGGAGAAACGAUAUUGGAAGCUUGCUUCUGAUAGGCGUCGACCGGCGCACGGGUGAGUAACGCGUAUCCAACCUGCCCAUCACUUGGGGAUAACCUUGUGAAAGUAAGACUAAUACCCAAUGACGUCUCUAGAAGACAUCUGAAAGAGAUUAAAGAUUUAUCGGUGAUGGAUGGGGAUGCGUCUGAUUAGCUUGUUGGCGGGGUAACGGCCCACCAAGGCGACGAUCAGUAGGGGUUCUGAGAGGGUGAACGGCCACAUUGGGACUGAGACACGGCCCAAACUCCUACGGGAGGCAGCAGUGGGGAAUAUUGCACAAUGGGGGAAACCCUGAUGCAGCGACGCCGCGUGAGUGAUGAAGUAUUUCGGUAUGUAAAACUCUAUCAGCAGGGAAGAUAAUGACGGUACCUGACUAAGAAGCACCGGCUAAAUACGUGCCAGCAGCCGCGGUAAUC
This 490-nucleotide ribosomal RNA is filed under the name uncultured bacterium. RNAcentral's name for it is "bacterial SSU rRNA". It matches the Rfam family "Bacterial small subunit ribosomal RNA", at positions 28 to 525 of the family's 1533-position model. The record is from RNAcentral.